RNAcentral lists this ribosomal RNA (307 nucleotides) under uncultured eukaryote. RNAcentral describes it as "partial 18S ribosomal RNA". It matches the Rfam family "Eukaryotic small subunit ribosomal RNA", at positions 1470 to 1796 of the family's 1831-position model. The record is from RNAcentral.
CCCUCAGACGUUCUGGGCCGCACGCGCGCUACACUGACGAAGGCAACGAGCUUUCCUUUACCGAAAGGUACGGGUAAUCUUUUGAAACUUCGUCGUGCUGGGGAUAGAUCCUUGCAAUUGUUGAUCUUAAACGAGGAAUGCCUAGUAAGCGCAAGUCAUCGACUUGCGUUGAUUACGUCCCUGCCCUUUGUACACACCGCCCGUCGCUACUACCGAUUGAAUGGUUUAGUGAGGCCUUCGGAUCCGCGACUCGUUUGUGGAGAAGUUGGACAAACUCAGUCAUUUAGAGGAAGUAAAAGUCGUAACA